GGGCUAGCGUUGUUCGGAAUUACUGGGCGUAAAGCGCACGUAGGCGGCUUUGUAAGUCAGAGGUGAAAGCCUGGAGCUCAACUCCAGAACUGCCUUUGAGACUGCAUCGCUUGAAUCCAGGAGAGGUCAGUGGAAUUCCGAGUGUAGAGGUGAAAUUCGUGGAUAUUCGGAAGAACACCAGUGGCGAAGGCGGCUGACUGGACUGGUAUUGACGCUGAGGUGCGAAAGCGUGGGGAGCAAAC
RNAcentral lists this ribosomal RNA (242 nucleotides) under uncultured bacterium. RNAcentral describes it as "partial 16S ribosomal RNA". It matches the Rfam family "Bacterial small subunit ribosomal RNA", at positions 532 to 773 of the family's 1533-position model. The record is from RNAcentral.